GGUAGUUCUAUAUUUAAUUUACUAAGGUACUCCAUUCUGUUUUCCAUAGUGGUUGUACCAAUUUACAUUCCCCCCAACAGUGCAGGAGGAUUCUUUUUCUCCAUACCCUCUCCAGCAUUUGUUAUUUGCGGACUUAUUAAUAUUGGCCAUUCUGACUGGUAUGAGGUGGUACCUCAUGGUAAUUUUGAUUUGCAUUUCUCUAAUAAUCAAUGACAUUGAGUAUUUUUUCAUGUGCUUGUUGGCCAUCUGUAUAUUUCCUUUGGAGAUAUGUCUAUUCAGGUCUUUUGCCCAUUUUUCCAUUGAGUUGUUGGCUUUUUUUGCUGUUGAGUUGUAUAAGUUGUUUGUCUAUUUUAGAGAUUAAGCCCUCAUCAGUUGCAUCAUUUGAAACUAUUUUCUCCCAUUCCAUAGGUUCUCCUUUUUUUUUUUUUUUUUUUUAAUGGUUUGCUUUGCUGUGCAAAACUUGUCAGUUUGAUUAGGUCUCAUUGGUUUAUUUUUGCUUUUAUUUCUCCUGCCUUGGGACAGUGACCUGAGAAAACAUUUGUAAGGUUGAUAUCAGAGAACAUUUUGUUUAUGUCCUCUUCUAGGAGAUUGAUGGUGUCUUUACUUAUGAAAAGCAUUCAUUACUUUCCCAAGACUCAACUGUCCUUACUCUCCUGGAAUAAGCUCUUCAUGGUUAUGAUUUAUGAUUAUUUAAAUAUAAUGUUGGAAUCUGUUGCCUAAUAUUUUAUUUAGGAUUUUUGAAACUGUAUAGUCAUUUCUCAUAUUACCUUUAUCUGAUUUUGUCAUCAAGAUGAUACACUCUUCUUAAAAAUGAGCUUGGCAAACUUUUAUUCAUUUUAUUUAUACUAUAAAAAAAUUGUAUAGGAAAAGACAACUACUUAAAAGUUUGUUCCACCACUAAAAAGCUAUUAGAACUAUUAAAUGAGUUUAGCAAGAUUGUGGGACUAAGGUUAAUAUAAAAAAUUGAUAGUAUUUAUAUAUACAAGAAAAUAUAACCUGAAAAUGAAAUUAAAAAUAAUUUCACUUAUAAUAGCAUCAACAGGAAAUACUUAGGGAUAGAUUUAACAGUAGAAGCACAAGACUUGUACACUGAAAACUAUAAAACAUUCUUGAAAAAAAUUCAAGAAGACCUAAUAAAUUGUCCAUGGAUAGGAAGACAAUGUUAGAAUGAAAAUACUGCCUAAAUUUGUCUACAGAUUCAAUGCAAGCCCUAGCGUGGCUGUAUUUGGAGGUGGGGCCUUUAAGGAAGUAAUUAAGGAAAAUGAGGUCAUAAGGGUGGGAUCCGAUCUGGUCAGACUAGUGUACAUAUGAGAAGGGGAGGAGACUCUCCACUGGAGAGAGCCCAGGUGAGGACACAGGGUGAAGGUGGUGCCUGCAUCAGAGAGAAGAGGUCUCAUCACAAAGCAAUCAGCUGGCACCUUGAUGUUGGACCUUCAGCCUCCAGAACCAUGAGGAAUGAAUGUCUGCCAUCCAGGUCGCCCAGUCCGUGGUGUUUGUCAUAGCCACUCGAGCAGACUUGGACAGUGUCACCUCCACACCUCCUAUGGCUCUCCCUGCUCUGCCCAAGAACUAUGGACUGGCCAUUCUCCUGUUGGAUGCACCUGUUUCCACCAUCCUGUCUGGACUCCAGCUCCCACCUGCCACAUGGACACAUCAUCCCUCAUCCCUGAACUAGGCUCUGUGGGGUGAUGUGGUUCAGAUUCUGUCCCAUGAGGAGAGGCUGGCAGUGCUGCCUAGUAACCAGACAGGUGUGUGCCAGCAUCCCCAGAUGCCUGGACCAGGUAAGGUGCAAGCAGGAGCAAUGGGGCCUCAACUGCAUGUGAGCCCGGGAAUACCAGCACUCAUGGACUUGAAUGAAUCCACUGGCAUUAGCCAUGUGGCUGACCAUUCAUUAUCUGGACCCACUUGCUUUGCAGUAAAAGGUUAUUUAUGGGUAAAUGAGGAUCCUACGCGUGGACCACAGGUCAGGACGCCUUAGACAUUGUGCUGCCGGUUGGAAGGGACCUUCUUUCUGCUAACUGUCGGGUCUUCAUGCCCUAAGUCCAUCAAUAAUAUAAAUGUUUCUCUUUCGAAAGAAAAUGACUGUGUAAAACUAUUUCAUUUGUGUAACUAGAGCAUCAGAAGAGAAUUUUCCCCAGAAUAUCUUCCAAAGGUCCUUAGGAACUGUGAAGUUAUGAGUAGACCUGGGAAUGGAUGGAACCGGGAAGACAUUGGGUGUUAGCUCCUCAAGAUUUAACUUUCUUCAGAAAUGGCGGGAUUUCACACACAGCCAUCUAGGUUCAUAUUUCUGCCCCCUGAUCUUAGAUGAACCAUUUAACUCAUCUAGACCUUAGUUUCCUCAUUUGCAAAAUGAGAAAAAUGACUCAUACCUGCUGUGUACAACUUGAAAGGAUUCUUACAACAAUCACUGUGGAAAUGCAUGGCAGAAUGCUCUGUGAACUGCAUCAUGAAGGGGACCCCACUACAUGGGGAAUGAGCCCUCUCAUUUUCAGAAGUUCCUGGCCAUGUGGUAUUCAGGGAGGAUAAAAUGAGAAAGUAUUUGUGUCUCUGGUUCUUAAUUUGUUCUCAAAGGUGAAAGUAAUAUGGCAGGUUUUUUUUUUUUCUCAUUAAUAAUGAAAAAGCAAUUUGUCACUAAUAUGUAGUUGCUUAAUAUUUUAUUUAUUUAUUUAUUUUGCUUAAUAUUUUAAAGAAGACUGUUAUAAUAGCUGAAAUUAAAGAAACUUGGCUCGAAUUCCUCCUGUGCUUUCUUCCUAGCUCUGCUAUAUUGGGAAAAUUACUUAGCCUUUCUGAGCCUCUGUUUCUGCAUCUGUAAAAUGGACACCAUCUUACUUAUUUGUCAGGGUUCCUGUGGGGAGUGGCAUCAGAUCAUUUAUGAGCAACUUCCUAACAGGAUCCCAGGGCGUCAGGAGCCCAGCAGGUGCCCAGCCUGCCGAAUUGAUACCUUCUGCUACUCAGAGCUUCAUCUCUGCACCGGCUUCUCACCUUGCUCUCAAAUUUUGAUGUUAGUUGUCAGGAAAGCAUCAGCUUUCCGAGAGCUGGAAUGUUGCCGUCUACAUUUUCUAAAGCCUUGGCCACGUUAGGAAACCAAAGCUAUGCUUUAGUUUAAAUGAUAGGGCAAUUUCACUAACUUGAAGUCUUGAAAAAACAACUUGCUGAUUCAUUGUGAUUGCAGAAUACACAGACUUUUAGUAUUUGGGAGCUAAAAAAGAUUUAUUUAAUAUUUUAUCAUUUGAUUUAACAAAUGAUGUUCAUAUGCAAUGUAUGUGUGUUCCAAACUGUCCUACAGAAUCCCUUUCUUGGGGGAAAUUGCUUGUUGCAGGGAGCAUUUCUGAGAUGGUUUUUUCCUUGAAUUUGACCUGUGUGUAUUCACGGCCAGACUCAAGUUUCAGGUAGUGGGCGGGAGGCCCCUCGGCCAAUCGGAAGGUGGAUCUGCUCAGGUCAUUUGCAUGUGGCAGCCCACUUUCCCGCAGUGCCAUCAGGAGGUGAAAUACAUCCUUGGGGGGUGUCACGGCCCGGGUUAAGAUGUCCUUUUACCCCUUCGCUGCUAGAGCAAUUUGAUAACUAUUCCACAAGAGCAGGCGGCGCUCAGAUGGGUGGAGCUGAGAAGACUGCAAAAUCUUGUCCAUCUUGCAAUUGCACCUGAGGAAGUGAGGAAUGAGAAUGCUUCCUGUGUGCCCUGGAAUUACUUUGCUCCUUGAUACACUGAUUUAUGGCUUGUUGUUUUCCUUCGGCUGAACGUGACAUUAGUACCUACAGAAGGGCAAAUGUGUGAGAAUGCUUGUAAAGCAAAAUCCAUUUUUGCAAAGGUAAUGAUGUUCUAAAAUUGGAACAAGUGCAACUCAGGCAAAAAAAUAAAAAUUGGAAUAUUCCCUAAAAUGAGUGAGCUCUUCUUCCUAGCUUUUCAAGGUAGUAAAGGUUUUCUUGAUGUGCUAUCAGAUUGGCUUUAUUAUUUUAAAAUAUUUUUUAACUCAGGAAAAAGAUAAUGUUUCAUAUUUUCUAUUUUGCCAUGCUGUCCGGUCAUUUGCUGUUCCAGAUGCUGGCUCUUACUGUGCAAUCAGCCUUGUGGUUUAAAAUGGAUCCUCUAUAAGGAUUCAUUCCAAAAUCCUGGGGAAAAAAAAAUGCCCAGCAGAGUGAGGGACUUGCGUAUGGCCACAGGAACAGGAAGCAGACAUAUACUGGACACAAGCACUGCGGAAAUCAGAGGGUGAUUCCAGCUGGGAGUAACAGUGAGAUGCUGGUAUUUGUAUAAAAGAAGCUGUGUGGGGGAGGGCAGGAACUGAGAAGAAAACACCCAAAUAUAGUUCUAAUUUGUGUCAGACUCACCCAAGCAGGCAGGGAGGGGGGCUGUCCAAAGGGCUAGAAGGGCUCCUUAGAAUGUGUCUCUGUGAAGAUGUCAGGAUGAGAAAUCUUUCAUUCCCCUCCACUGGUGAUGGGUCUCUGAAUGAACACCGCCCUGGAAAGAUCCAAAGCUUGGUGGGGUGUGAGAGUAUAGACUUCACACCCAGAGGAAGCACUCCUCCUUCCACGUCAGCUGAGACGAGAGAGACUUCAGUGGCACUGCCUGUGAGUGGCCAUCUCUUUCAAUCAUGGAAGUGAGUGGGCAACUUGGAAAGUAGAUGCCUGAAUCCAAACUACCUUCUGGAAUGCUCUGUGUCAGAGAGGCGGCACCUUCUCAGCUGGAAAGCCGCAGGUCUCUCCCACGCCCUGGGACCCUUCUGCGUCUCUCCUGCAGGCGUAUGCUGCAGCCCACCCUCCAGGGUAUAUCCAGUCUUCUUCAGAAAUGACGCAGCAUUUUAGGUUUGUGGCAAGUCAGCGAACAGGAAUACUGGAGAGAGCUUUAUGUCCACACGCUGACAGGUUUCUGUUGGUUUUGGCUUAAGAGCUCACUGGGGUGUAGACCAUUAACAUUUUAUAAUAUGUAGUUUGCACUAAUGGGCUCAUUGAAAAAAAGAGAGAGAGAGAAAGGGAUUCUGAAGGACACACUUCCUCCUGGGCUUUUUCCCGAUUGUUUCGCUUUUCUGUACUCUGUUCCCUCCCCAUCCCUCUGUGAGGUCAAACACUGUGGGUUGUUGCAGAUGGCCUCCAGCCAGUGGGAUUGCCCAUGCUCCUUUCCUGCCAUCCUUGUGGGGCUAAGCCCAGUCAGGANGCAGAUGAUGGCACAAAAGCAACUGCUAAGAAGAAUUAGUGUUCAUUCCCAUCAUGGCGCAGAGGAAACGAAUCCAACUAGGAACCAUGAGGUUGAGGGUUCGAUCCCUAGCUUAGCUCAGAGGGUUAAGAAUCUGGCAUUGCCACCUGGUGUUGGUUGUAGAUGCGGCUCCGAUCUGGCAUUGCUGUGGCAUAGGCUGGUGACUACAGCUCCCAUUAGACACCUAUCCUGGGAACCUCCCUCUGCUGUGGGUGCGGCCCUUAAAAAAAAAAAAAAAAAAAAA
Molecule: long non-coding RNA, 5429 nt
Filed under: Sus scrofa (pig)
Lineage: Eukaryota; Metazoa; Chordata; Mammalia; Artiodactyla; Suidae
Description: lncRNA (ENSSSCG00050009730.1)
Source: RNAcentral